GUGCCAGCCGCCGCGGUAAUACGUAGGGUGCGAGCGUUAAUCGGAAUUACUGGGCGUAAAGCGUGCGCAGGCGGUUUUGUAAGACAGGCGUGAAAUCCCCGGGCUUAACCUGGGAAUUGCGCUUGUGACUGCAAGGCUAGAGUGCGUCAGAGGGGGGUAGAAUUCCACGUGUAGCAGUGAAAUGCGUAGAGAUGUGGAGGAAUACCGAUGGCGAAGGCAGCCCCCUGGGACGUGACUGACGCUCAUGCACGAAAGCGUGGGGAGCAAACAGGAUUAGAUACCCUGGUAGUCCACGCCCUAAACGAUGUCAACUAGUUGUUGGGGAUUCAUUUUCUCAGUAACGUAGCUAACGCGUGAAGUUGACCGCCUGGGGAGUACGGUCGCAAGAUUAAAACUCAAAUAAAUUGACGGGA
This 413-nucleotide ribosomal RNA is filed under the name uncultured beta proteobacterium. Its description in RNAcentral is "bacterial SSU rRNA". It matches the Rfam family "Bacterial small subunit ribosomal RNA", at positions 505 to 918 of the family's 1533-position model. The record is from RNAcentral. Lineage: Bacteria; Pseudomonadati; Pseudomonadota; Betaproteobacteria.